RNAcentral lists this ribosomal RNA (206 nucleotides) under uncultured bacterium. RNAcentral describes it as "partial 16S ribosomal RNA". It matches the Rfam family "Bacterial small subunit ribosomal RNA", at positions 1287 to 1500 of the family's 1533-position model. The record is from RNAcentral.
CUCAGUUCGGAUCGGAGUCUGCAACCCGACUCCGUGAAGCUGGAUUCGCUAGUAAUCGCGCAUCAGCCAUGGCGCGGUGAAUACGUUCCCGGGCCUUGUACACACCGCCCGUCAAGCCAUGGGAGCCGGGGGUGCUUGAAGCGCGUCGCCGCAAGGCGCGCCCUAGAGCAAAACCGGUGACUGGGGCUAAGUCGUAACAAGGUAGC